RNAcentral lists this long non-coding RNA (1517 nucleotides) under Varanus komodoensis (Komodo dragon). RNAcentral describes it as "lncRNA (ENSVKKG00000014251.1)". Lineage: Eukaryota; Metazoa; Chordata; Lepidosauria; Squamata; Varanidae. The record is from RNAcentral.
CCUUUUCCCUUUUCUCUCACGACGCUCAGAAAGAGAAAGGGAAAGAUGCAGAGGAAGGGGAGAACCAAGUGUCAGAAGAAGAGACCAUCAUUUUUUUACUGAAAAAGGCCAAGGUGAGACUCUGCAGCGGGUGGGAAUUUAAUCUCAGUGCCUGCGGGGCAGGGAAAGGAUUUUGCAAAUUCAAGCUGCCUUCCACCAGGCCUGGCCUUUUGCCCACCUAGCCUGGGAAUGUUUACCCUAACUGUGCGUGUGCGCGCGUAAAAGUAUGGAAUGGUGACCCUUUUAACACACAGCCACCUCUGCAAAGCAUCCUCCGGAGUUCCUGACUCAUGAUGGGCAGUUUGAACUGCCCUGCCGCCUGCAUUCCUGUUCUCUUUUAGUUCAACAUCAUGAAAGGAGAGUUGGAAGAGGCGGACGGGAUCCUGCAUGAAGCUGCCCAACUCUCUCACCAGGCAAACAACACCAAGGCCAUCAUCUACACAUACGACAUGGUGAGUCCAGGCACCCUUUAAAAUUAUUUAAAAUUAUUUAAAAUUCUGCGCCAAAGUGGCACUGAACCUGGGACUAUUCUGAGACAUGCUUGCCCUUAAGGGAAUUUAUCUUCCUGCUCUGCAAAGGCCCUUCUGAAUAUGCCCGGCUGGCAGAAUUAUCUGUGGCAGAAGGUGACCAAAGAAUCUUGUAGCACUUUAACCCUUCUGGCUUUUAAAAACAAAUGACCAUGUUUCUAAUCCUUGUUUGCCGUACAGUGGAAAGCAUGUAGGCAACUCCUGCUGGAAUCUCUGAAGUCAAAAGCACAGGGAGAGCGAGAUUAUCUUUAAGUAGACCGUUUGUUUGGCAUGUUGCAGAUGGCGAAUGUGGCCUUCAUGAGGGGAGAGCUGGAGCAGGUGAGUAACGCCAGCUCCCUAAUGCAUGCAGGGCCGGGACCCGGGUGUGCCUGUGGUGGAUCUCCAGAGAUCACCCCCGAAACGUCUGGCUUUUCUAAUGAUUACCCACUUUGCUCUCCUGUUUUAGGCAGAAAAGCUUUUCAAAGUGGCAAUGAGCUACCUGCUGGCUGGAGAUAUGAAGCAGGACGACAACGCCAUCAUAGAGAUGUCGCUCAAGCUAGCCAGCAUCUAUGCCGCACAGAAUCAGUAAGGUUCCUUGCCUCUUUCCCUCUUUUGUCCUCGGGCGCUUCUGGGGUGGGGUGUGGGCGCGUCUGCAUCUCCCCCCACUGCAUCCGCCUGCUGGCAUGCAGGCAGAUGUGGGUCUUCUGGGACAAAUCAAUGCAUCUUGGCCAUAUUUCUCCCCUGCCUUCUUUUCCUGUAAGGAAAACCUGCAACCCUCCUUCAUUUUACCUACCUGCACCCUGUGAGGAGGGCCGAAGUGAGAGUCCAGGACUGGCUGAAAGUCACCCACCGAGCUUCACAGGGACUCGAACCCAGAUCCCCCAUGUCCCAGCCCAAUGCCCUGACCACCACACCACCUCUCCAUUGCGUGGGGCAUGUUUCAUGCGACACACAGACUGGCAUCCAGCUUAA